GAAAUGCGAUAAUUAAUGUGAAUUGCAGAAUUCAGUGAAUCAUCGAGUCUUUGAACGCACAUUGCGCCCCCUGGUAUUCCGGGGGACAUGCCUGUCCGAGCGUCAUUGCUGCCCUCAAGCACGGCUUGUGUGUUGGGCUUCCGUCCCUGGCAACGGGGACGGGCCCAAAAGGCAGUGGCGGCACCAUGUCUGGACCUCGAGCGUAUGGGGCUUUGUCACCCGCUCCCGUAGGUCCAGCUGGCAGCUAGCCUCGCAACCAAUCUUUUUAACCAGGUUGACCUCGGAUCAGGUAGGGAUACCCGCUGAACUUAAGC
This 314-nucleotide unclassified non-coding RNA is filed under the name plant metagenome. Its description in RNAcentral is "partial contains 5.8S ribosomal RNA, internal transcribed spacer 2, and large subunit ribosomal RNA". The stretch from base 1 to 105 matches the Rfam family "5.8S ribosomal RNA", at positions 50 to 154 of the family's 154-position model. The record is from RNAcentral.